GGGGGUAGAUCGAAGCUCUUUCCACAAUCAAAGGUGCAACCGGACUAUUCCAUGUUCUUGAGCAAAGGGGACAAAGCUGCUCAAGCUCGACUGGAUUUCUUUGUCUCAAUUUCUCCAGCAUGCCCAUGCACCUCUGGCCUUGAGUCAGCCAGGUCGGUGGCCAUGAGCUCCUCCAUAUGCAAGCCGAGCUCAUUGGAUCCAAGCUUCUAAGGCUCUGAAGCUUCUUUGAGCUUCCUCGCAUGCC
Molecule: long non-coding RNA, 244 nt
Filed under: Elaeis guineensis (African oil palm)
Lineage: Eukaryota; Viridiplantae; Streptophyta; Magnoliopsida; Arecales; Arecaceae
Description: long non-coding RNA (EGUI_LNC047570)
Source: RNAcentral